Molecule: unclassified non-coding RNA, 3626 nt
Filed under: Hevea brasiliensis (rubber tree)
Lineage: Eukaryota; Viridiplantae; Streptophyta; Magnoliopsida; Malpighiales; Euphorbiaceae
Source: RNAcentral
UUUUAAAAACAAAAACUGAACCAGGAGCUCUCUCUUAUUAUUAAAACAGUAUCAUUCUUGAACAACAUGACUUAAAACAAGAUCUCCACAAUUCACUUCCAGGGAAAGGGAUUAAAGUUUUAACCAACAAAGAGACCAUUAAUUAUUCCGAAUUUUUGCACCAACAAGAAUACGAGGUGUGACCAUACAGUGUCUGCAAUUCACGGAAAAGAUAGUUUAAAACUAGUUUAACAAAUUCUACACUUUACGAGCCAAUGUCCUCUGUUUAGUAGCAUGCUGGACUACUUUCUCCUCCACAGGCAAGCCCUUCCGUCGCCUUACGGCAUUGAUGAGCUUUCUUGCUGUAUUAGGUAGAACGCUGGAACCAUCUCCAAACUCUUCAAUUUCCUCUUCUGUUUUUGGUACAAAGAAAGGAUCCUCGGGAAGUGCUUCCCAAUGGCUAAGAACAAGGAGAGCACUUGCAGCUCCUGAAGUCCAUCUUCUAAGCUCAUCAGCAAAACCAAAGCUCUCAGAAACUGGGACAUAUGCGUGAACUGUGAAAAGUGGAGAUCCUUCUUGCAUCUCCUCCUUCAAGACCCGAGCCCGUUUCCGAUUAAGCACUGCAUACAUGGAGCCCAAAUAUUCAGUUGGGGUGUUCAACUCGCAAAAAUACAUUGCUUCAACAAGCCGAGGUUUAUUCUGAAUUACAGCUGCUCUACAUGCAUCCUUGACAGCUGUCAUAACCUGUCCAGUGAAGAUGCCAUACUGCUCAGACUGUUGAUUAAUGUCAGACUCAUCAGACUGCUCAGCUAACGGAGAUAUGUAAACAUCAACCACAAAUGCCACUCCCCACAUUUGUUCAUCACAUAAAGGUCCAGCUGCUGUUGCAAGUUGGAAUCCAGACACUACGCUGUUCUGAAGACUCUCUGCUUCCAUGUCUAAUGCUUGAGUUUCUUCAGAGGAUGUGUCGGCAGGUGUAUCACCAUCACUGUAAUUAUCAACUAAGCCUAAUCUUUCAGAUACAUGAGGAGAACCCCGUACAAGAACAGAUAAAUCAUUGCUCUUGCUUUUCAAAUCUGAAGUGAAGAGGAUAUUAGGGCCAACCUGUCCUGGACCAAGUGCCCAAAUCCUCCUAAGAAAUUUUUGCCACUUAAGUUUGUAUUUUUCAGCCCGAUCCUUGUCAGUCUCACUCCAUGACAAUAUUUCACUUUCGACAGCAUCCAUUAUGUGUUUUUUGAUUCCUUCAACUGAACUCUCAUCUUGUAAAAUGCUUGAACCCUGCUUUUGCACAUCUCUAUUUGUCUGCCCCAGCUUCCCGCCAAUGAUAUCUCCAAGAAUAUCGGCACUUUCAUCCAGCACCUUGGUUAGUGCAGGUGGAAGUCUCAUGACUUGCACACGAACAUCACACCUUCCAUUUGGUGUUGUCUUCUCCACAUAAUCUGAGCCCCUUCUCAGUGAUUUCAGAUUAUCUAAAGCAUUGGAAGUGUGCCCCUCGAUGGUCUCCUUAUAGGACACAAGAGGUGGAGAGACUUCCAGGCUCACCUUUGCAAAUCUCUCCUUCAAAUCCUUGAUGCACCUUUCUAGGUGAACUUCUCCAGCAGCAGCAAGCACAUGCUCCCCUCUAGAAGAAACAGUUACUUCAACAAAUGGAUCUGCCCGGUUCAGAAGCCUCAGACCCUUCAUCAGGGCAGUCAUAUCUGCUGGAUCAGAUGGCUCAAUUGCAACUCUUAAAGUUGGGGAAACCUGGAAUGCCAUGCUAGAGAAAGGCCAACAGUUUCUUGUGGAUGAAAGAGUUGCACUUUUUAAAAUAUGUUGGCCGAGGCCUCGGAUUGCCACAACAUCCCCUGCUUUUGCAGAGGCUACUGGUUUCAAGCCUUGACCCAUCAUGAGAUACAAUGAGUGCAACUCAGCAUCCUGCACAUGCUUCUGCAUUGACUCUCCCCUCAACGGGUCAUAUAAUGCUGAAAGCACAAAGACUCUUUGUUGUGAAUAAAGAACCCCACUAAAAAUUCUUGCAAAUGCAAGGAAGCACUCAUCUGACUCACUGCUUCCAUUUUCAUCACUGUAAUUAUUCAAAAUCUCUCCAUUUGGUCCCCUUUGAGGUAGCAUCUUUGUUGGUACUGCAAACAUUUUGGAUACAAAGGCAACAGAAGGUGCUUCAGGGCUGGAAUCACAAAUCUCAACUGACUUUCUUACAAGAUCUGCCUCUGCAAUAAUACUUGAGUCAACUGCAUCAUACAAAACCUCUCUCUUGGGAAGCAAACGUGAAAUUCGAAAAGACUGGGCAGCAAUUGGAUCUGGUAUGCACUUCACAACCAUUGACAAAAUUGCAUCAGACAAGGGAAGCCAGCGGCUCACAACAGCUUGAAGCACAAUCUUUGGAUCCUUAUUCUGAAGUUCACGAGGUGGCACAUGCAAAUUAAAAGACUUAAUGACUUUCUCAAGUAAACCUUUAUUUCCAUCAGGCUCUAAGGCUGACUGGUAAACCUGCCACAGUGGCUCAAGCACAAACUGCACAAACAUAGGCCGAGCCUUACUUCCUCCUUCCACUCCCUUCUUCCCCACAAUCAUCUUAGUCUUGGGAUUGAAAUACUUAGGACCCCACAAAGCCUUCUGCAAUGCAGCUGAACUAGCUCCAAGCUUUGAAGCAUAAAAUUCGGCAAACUCACUAAUACCAAAACCCCAUCCAUCCAAUGCACACACAAAUGCCACAUUCCCCUUCUGUGGUUGAAAGGUAUCCUCUUCAUCAUCCUCUAUAAACUCAAGAUUCUCAUAAUCCACUUCACCAGAUGGCCCCGCAAGUAAUGAGUCAACAUCAGAAAGAUAUUUCUCAGACUUAUAUGUACUCAUGAUCCCAUUCACCUCAUGAACAAUCCUCAGCAACCGGUUAUAUGCUUCCAUGGGACUCAACUUCAACUCAUAAAUCAACCUAUCAAUCUUAUUAAGCACUAAACAUGGUGUGAGCUUCUCAAUCCAAGAUUGACGCAAAACAGCAUGCGUCUGUAUAUGAAUCCCCUCAACAGCAUCAACCAAAAUCAAUGCCCCAUCACUCAAUCUGGCUGCAGUAGAAACCUCACUACAAAAAUCCAUAUGACCAGGGGAGUCUAUGAGGUUUAUUGAAUAAUCUUUAUAAUGUAGAGCAAUUGAAGAGCUCUUCAUUGUUAUUGCACGCCUCUGUUCCUCAUCAAGAUAAUCCAUAAACCUAAGCUUCCCUGCCAUUUUCGGGUGAAGCAGACCACCACCAGUAGCAGCAAUCAGGUGGUCGGCAAGUGUUGUCUUGCCAUGAUCAACAUGAGCUAAUAUGCAUAUAUUUCGGAUUUUGUGGGCAUCAAAAUCACCCAUUUUGCCAAAACUGUGUAUAAAAGUAACUACAACAACAAACAAACAGGCCUGCCCAAUUAAACAAAAAACCAAUUUGGCAACUUCUCUGCAGAAACCAAAAAAUCGUUGAAAUGGCAAUAUAUCCCAAUAGUAGCUAUAUGAGGAAAAUUGAGUGUAUAAAAGGGAGAGGGUUUUGAUGUCUGUUGGGUUCUUUUCUGUGGAGGAUAGGGCAGACCCUUGAUGUGGUUUUCUUGAUUUCUCUAUACAAUCUUGACUGGGUAUUUGAAAGCAUAAUAAACAUAUCUAACAGAGAGGUAGACAAAGCG